GACCAUGCAAACUAACAACAGCAGAUGUCUGGAGCGGAUCAAUUCUCGCAGCUCUGUCAUCCAUACCAGACGGUGUUCUCUGUUUGUUGAUCACACCUAAUUCAUUGAAGCAAUGAAGAAAUUAUGAUGCAAAAAAUACAAACAGGUCAAGUGAUUGAAACAUCAAACCAAUGUAUAAACACAACAGAUGACAGUAAGAAGGGGAAUAGAAAUUCAAAGAUCCCACCAGACCUUAACAGCUGACUCAGGAACCUCGCCGUAUCCCAUAAGGCGCUGAGCAUGCCAACCUUGCAUUGCACGUGCUGCCGCAUCCCUCCGCGCCCUACCUGAGCCUGGAGCCUGAUAAACAGCGGUCUGCAAAAGAAAUUCGUCAUUUCAACACUUUCCUUGCUUUUCAUUUUGCCGGAGAUAACCAGCAGAAGAUUCAAGGAACUCUAGACAAGAGGCUUUACAGUUUGAGGGUUUUAGUGACACAACACCCACACCCAUCUGCAUUUAUCAGCAUGGCCAGCGAUGGAUGUGAUAUCCAGCAUUGAGACACAAGCCAAUGACUUAUCUCUAAUUUGGAUGUUGUUGCCAAUUGUCAGUUUCAAAGAAACUAUUUUAAAUGCAACAUAAUAAAUUUUUCAUUUCUAGGUAUUCGCUGGCGUUUGUAAAAUGUAGGCCCUCUAGCACACAUGAAAGUUCAUAGUAUGUUCCCUUAUAUUGAAUUACAAAUGCAUUAA
This 725-nucleotide long non-coding RNA is filed under the name Medicago truncatula (barrel medic). Its description in RNAcentral is "lncRNA gene19926". The record is from RNAcentral. Lineage: Eukaryota; Viridiplantae; Streptophyta; Magnoliopsida; Fabales; Fabaceae.